Molecule: ribosomal RNA, 253 nt
Filed under: uncultured bacterium
Lineage: Bacteria
Description: partial 16S ribosomal RNA
Rfam family: Bacterial small subunit ribosomal RNA
Source: RNAcentral
UACAGAGGUCUCAAGCGUUGUUCGGAUUCAUUGGGCGUAAAGGGUGCGUAGGCGGCGCGGUAAGUCGGGUGUGAAAUCUCGGAGCUUAACUCCGAAACUGCAUUCGGUACUGCCGUGCUUGAGGACUGGAGAGGAGACUGGAAUUUACGGUGUAGCGGUGAAAUGCGUAGAUAUCGUAAGGAAGACCAGUGGCGAAGGCGGGUCUCUGGACAGUUCCUGACGCUGAGGCACGAAGGUCAGGGGAGCAAACGGG